This 253-nucleotide ribosomal RNA is filed under the name uncultured bacterium. Its description in RNAcentral is "partial 16S ribosomal RNA". It matches the Rfam family "Bacterial small subunit ribosomal RNA", at positions 524 to 776 of the family's 1533-position model. The record is from RNAcentral.
UACGUAGGUGGCAAGCGUUGUCCGGAUUUACUGGGCGUAAAGAGCGCGCAGGCGGUCAGCCAAGUCGAGUGUGAAAGCCCCCGGCUCAACUGGGGAGGGUCAUUCGAUACUGGCCGACUCGAAGGCAGGAGAGGGAAGCGGAAUUCCCGGUGUAGUGGUGAAAUGCGUAGAUAUCGAGAGGAACACCUGCGGCGAAGGCGGGUAGCUGGGCCGACACUGACGCUGAUGCGCGAAAGCCAGGGGAGCGAACGGG